AAAACGAGAAGAAUCAAGACAAUUUCUUUUCUUUAGCUACAUAGAAAUGAUUUCUGUUUUCAAACUUCAUGAUUUUAAAGGAAAGACUGUCCUGGGGCAGAAGGGAAUCCUGCCAACCAGCAUACCAAGAAUUCUGAGACAGACUCAGGUCUUUUUUGCUAAUCUGGUUUGAGUCACUUAGCCUCCAAUUCUUCAUGAGGAGUGUCAACCACUUCAUGAAAAUAACAUGGAUUAACCAAGCCAUUGCUCUAGAAACCAGAGUCCCAGGUGUCUGGGCCUCACAAGGUACUUAGGCUGAGCUGGGAAAUAACUGAGUGCUGUCUUCCUGAGACAGAAGAGUGUCUGACUGACCAAUGCAUGCAUCGUUCUCGGAGGCUAGCAAGGCUUGUAUGAUGCUAAAUGAAUUUAAUGAUUUAAUAGGCUGAAUCCAUAAUAUAUGUAAUUAAAAAAAUGGAUACAGCGGGCACUGUUACCUUAAGUUGAACAGAAGAACAGCUCUGGCUCCUCUAUAUACAUUCAUUUCAACAGUUAAUGCUUUUCCAAUCAAUGCAGAUUAACCAGGAUGUAGAGUCCACAUUUCAUGGUGCUAGCUAGCUUUUGGGUAAAGACUGGCAGGGCAAGAGGUGGGGCAGGGGAGGCAACAAAUGGAGGACAUGUAUAAGGGGAAAUACGAAGCAGAAAUGUGAUUGCAACCCAGCAGUCACAUGUUGACAGUAAAUAGGAAAGACGACCUUCUAAAAGGUAAUAAAAUAUGGGAAACAGAAAACUGGAGGUUAUAGUAAAACAAAAAUGAAAAAUCAUCAGUAGUCCUUAUCUGUGGGACAUAUGUUCCAAGACCCCCAAAGGAUGCCUUGAAACGCGGAUAGUACCCAACUCUAUAUAUACUAUGGCUUUUCCUAUACAUACAUAUCUAUGAUACAGUUCAAUUUAUAAAUUAGGCAGAGUAAGCGAUUAACAACAAUAAUAAUGCAACUGUUAUACUGUAAUAAAAGUUACUGUAGAUUUUAGCAGUCUCAGCAUAAGAUGUUUUUUCUUUCCUUAGUGAGUCUAGAACUUUCACCUUUUCACUUAAAGGAAGCACUUUAUGACUUCUCUUUGGCAUAUCCAAAUCACCAGCAUCACAACUUUUGUGCUAUGGGGCUAUUAUUAAGUAAAAUAAGAGUUACUUGAACACAAGCACUGUGACAUUGCCACAGUCGAUCUGAUAACUGAGAGGGCUACUAAGUGACUAAUGGGCAGACAGCAUAUAUAACGUGGACCUGCUGGACAAAGGGAUGAUUCAUGUUCUGGGUCGGAGGGCAUGAGAUUUCAUCACGCUACUGAGAAUGGUGUGUAACUUAAAACUUAUGAGUUGUUUAUUUCUGGAAUUUUCCAUUUAAUAUUUUCAGACCUUGGUCACCUGGAGGUAACUGAAACCACAGACAGUAAAACCACAGAUAAGAGGAGACUACUGUAUCAGAAUAAAGAACCAAGACCUGAAUUACACUUCAAAAAUUGACUAAGAUAGAAUGUUAAUAAAUUGCUCUAACUAGAUCUUCUGGAAGGUAAGAAGUCUGGCAAGCCAAAUUGAAUAGAGAUAAAGCAAAGUGGCUAUCACCUUAUUUGUGAACAGGCUGUUGUAAAUAAGCCGCAACACAUUUAUGUUUUAUUCCCCCAAAAUGUGACAUCCAAUCUUAGGAAAUGUGGGUUGGUGCUUGGUCCCAAACUCUAAUUGGAAACAGUCAUUAUUUAUGGAUAAGUGUGGAAGAGGAGGCCAAAAAUGACAAGUAAGCACUGACCCCCAGAAGGAUGGGCAAUAAUAAAGUAUUUAGAAAAAUACCAUCCAAAAUUAAAACUGUCUAUAGGAGACUUCCCACCUUUAUGGAGGUGGUAGACUGAAUGCCAGUGCUUUCCAUGGUUCCUGAUUUUCUCCUCUGUGGGAAUCUUUGUCAAUGUUUGGGGAAAGAUACAUGCAUCAGGGUUUGGUCAGAAGCAGAAACACUGGGUGAUAUACAAUGAGGAGUUUAUUCUAGGGAUCAGACAACUGUGGGAUCUAGUGAAGAAAUCAGUGGGAGUGUGUUGCCUCUGUGUUUGAUGAUGGGCUGAGUUCUCUGGUGGUCAGCAGAGCUACCAGGGAGAAAAGCUGGGCACGAAGUGUAGGAGAGCAAGGAAGAACCGCAAUUAGGAGGAAAAAGUAGAACACACAUUUCCCUCUUCUGACUUCCAUGACGUGGCUGACUUUGAAUAAAGAUCUAGUGCCCUUUGCCAUGGAGCUGAACAUGUACCUGGCCCAGGACUUGCAAAGCUGAAGGAGGAGACCUGGAGAGAGCUUCAGGAGCUGCAGUCACAGCUGCUGCCCUAAGUUAAGGUGAGCUACCAGGUCAGUGACAAUGUGUGCUCGCUGCAAUAGUGCUCAGUGCCCUCUUCAGAGUAUAAUAGUGGCUGCUUCACUUCUGCCUUCCAAACCUUAUGUAAAUUUUUCUUCAGGUUAACCUUAACCCCGUGUAAAACAGGAACAGGAAAGGGAAUUCUAUGAAAUAUAGUUUCUGAUUUAGCUAAUUUGAUACGGGACAAAACCACCAUAGGCUACCAUUGCCAACUUGACAUCCAUCUACACUUCUUUUAACCAUACAUAACUUACAGACAAAGACCUUAGAAAAUGACGUUUCCACCUAAUAAGAUGCAACUAUCACUUCUAUAGUUGAAAAUACACUAACUUUCCAUGUGCUACUUUAUCUAUUCUGGGGUGAUGUUCAUUCCUCUUCUGGUUAAGAUCCACUCUCCCUUUCAUAUCCUAUACUUUAAAUACUGAGAUAUGAGGAUGCUAUAGAUUGAACUGUGUUUGCCAAAAAGCUGUAUUUUCAAAGUUUUAAACCCCAGACCUUGUGAAAGUGAUCUUAUUUGGAAAUAGGGUCUUUGCAGAUGUAAUCAAGUUUUUAAAAGGUCAUAUUGGAUUAGAGUGGGCCCUAAACCAAUUACUGGUGUCCUUAAAGGAAUGAACGCCCUAUGAUGAUAGAGGCAGAGAUUGGAGUGAUGCAUCUACAAGCCAAGGAACACCAAAGUUUGCUGGAUAUCACCAGAAGCUAGGAGAGAGGAAUGGAACAGAUUCUCCCUCAGAGACUUCAAAAGGAACUAACCAUGAUGACACCUUGAUUUUGGAUUUCCAGCCUCUAGACUGUAAGAUAAAUUUCUGUAGUUUUAAGCCAUGCAGUUUGUGGGACUUUGAUAUGGCAGCCCAAGCAAAUGAAUGCAAAGGAUAACUACCUUAACCAUAUUUUAUAUUAGAUGGUAGAAAGAGGAGAAAAAAAGAAUUGGUUGAUAUAUCACCAAAUAUAUUUAUAUCAAAGUAUGGAAUAUUCAUAACUCUUACCGUCCUAAUUCCUACAACUGAUUAUGUGGUCACAGCAGAUGUUUUUAACUUCUUUCCAUUCUAUAUACCCUUUGUCCUCAGCAAGCACUUCACCUGGUUAUUGUUCCUUGCCUGUUGAGGUGACCUAAGUCUUCAUUUUUGAAGGAUCUGAACCUUUGGCAGUCUGCCUACAUUGGGUUGUUUUCCAUUUACUUUUGUUAUAAGACAUGAGAGUUUCAGAGGUGCCCUUUGUCUCCUUACUCGUAUAGUCUAGUAAUAAUCCAGUUUCCCCUUGAUAGUCACAGUCAUCCCAGCCAGUAUAGUAACCCCAUUCUUUGCCUGUUGGUUCUUUAGCAUGAGGAGCCCAAAGUGGCCAGUAGGCAGCAUCACCUUCCAGUUUAAUGGAGCCAUUGUUGGAUCUCCUAGCAGAGCACCUCUCCCUUGGGAACUAAGCCUUCUAGGCCAGCAGAAUCCAAAGUUGCAGGCUAGGAAGAACAAAUUUUGCAAGGGGAUCACGAGGGGUAACAGUGACAGGACAUUUUCCCAUUUCAACUCCUUGAUUUCUGGACCUGUGAAUCCUGGAUAAAGGAGAAACAGUAACAUAUAUUGGUUAAUGAUUUAGAGAAUUUACUGCAUUUUGAAAGACAUUACCCUAGCCCUGCAAAGUGUUUCCAUUCAUCUAGCACAGUAACUGAAUUGUCAAAAGAACCAUUCCACUGCUUCAGAGUGAUGGAUAAGAUGGUAAAACUAGUGAAUUACGUGAUCAUGAUCCCGUUGCUACACUUCAUUUGUCGCAAAAUAAGUUUCUUGGUUAGAAGCAAAGCAUUGUGGAAUACCAUGAUGGGGAAUAAGACAUAAGAAUUCUAUAAGUCUGCCAAUACUUAUUUUGGAAAAAGUAUUGCAGACAGGGAAGGCAAAUCCACAUGAAGCGUAAGUUUCUAUGGAGUGAGAACAAAACAUUGCCCUUUCCGUGAUAGAAGUGGCCUAAUGUAAUUAACUUACCAUCAGAUAGGUGGCUGAUUCUCUGGGAAUGGUGCUAUUUCAGGGGCUCAGUGUUGGGCUCUGCUUUGGUUGGGUUGGACACUAAGCGGUGGCUACAGCCAGAUUAGACAUGGUGAGCGAAAAUUCACAUUGCUGAGCCCAUGUAUACGCUCCAUCUCUGCCACCACAGCUACUUGGUUCAUGAUCCCAUUGGUCAAGAAUAGGAGUGACUGGAGAAAGAGACCUGACGGAGGUGUCAUCUUGACAAUUAUUAAGAUCUUUCUUUGCUGAGGUGGAGCUUUGUCGAGCAUUCACGUGGGACAUUGUGUAUCCAUUCAGGGAGUUCUGUCCAUUUACUUCUUCCCCAGACUUUCUUGUCACCAAUUUUCCAAUCAUGUUUCUUCUAAGUCUCCAAUGUAGAAUAUGAAAUUCAGAAUUAUCAUCCCAAGGAGUAGGGGGUCUAGGGAAUUUAUUCAUCAACUCCCGCUAGUCAUUCGAUGAAGGCUAAUUGAGUGCAGGAGGGACCAUCAUCCCUGACACUUCUAGUCUUAGAGGGCAGGCAGAGUGGCCAGAGAAAGUUCUCAGGCAAAGAAUCACAGUUCCUGGCACUUCAAGACAGGUUGGCUUGUUUUGGAAAUGGUAAAUAACACGGCAUAAGGCAGAGCACUAUAGGCUUCAUAACUGGUGGAGCAGACCAAUGGUUCCUUGGGGUCCUUUGCCCUUUUGACCAACUACUUAGUCCCAGUGAAAAUAGACAUAUUCAGAGAAGAACAGAAAGACUUCCGACAUUAGGUCAGAAAUCCAGAAUGUCUACUUGUUUUCUGUCCUGUUCCAUUCCUUGACAUUAUUUUACUAAUUAGACUCUACAUCCUUCAUUCUUCUAUUUCUCGUCUCAUUUUCUGUCAGGCAAAGAGACAUUUAGUUUGCCCUAUAGCAUCCAGUUCUAUGUCUUCACUAGAGUAAGAACUCAAUAUUUUAUUCCUGACUGAUCAGAAUAUUUUUAUCCCAUUGGUUUUUGCCAUCUAAAACAGUUGUCAGCUCACAAAAUUCCAGAAUAUUCAAAAAUAAGCUUUCAUGAACUGGGUGAGCCAUUGUAUUUACGUGAGAUGAUAUUAAAAAGCUAUCCUCUAUCUCAUGAAGUUGUCGUGGCAGACAGUACCCCAAAGAUCUAUUUUUCUGUCUUUAGCUAACUUAAACCUCUCUUUCCUUGUUUUGGAUGGUAGGGAGAAAAUUGCUGGUUGGAAGUGAUAGGAAGAACAAUGUCAGGAUCAAUGAUAGCAUCACAGCAAAAUAAUUAUUGUUAUAAUUGUAAUGCUUUGCAUUUAAAUUGCACUUUUAUCCAAAAGUCUCACAACACUUUUCUGAAUAUCUCUUUUGAAUUCAAAAGCAUUUACUGAAGAAGGCAGAGCAAAAUAUAAUUAUAUUACAAUUUUACUCUGAAAUGUAAUUCAAUUCAUACAAAGUGGAUUUUGGAAAUUGAAUUAUUGACAUACAUAUGAAAAAUUUUGUGGUGUAUUUUUGACAAAGGAAGUCCCAGCGUAUGGGUCUUUGAGGAGAGGAUGAAAAAUAGGUGCUAACACGUUUCCAAGCAAUGGACAGCGAAAUAGAAUAAAACUGUCAGGAAGCAGAUUGAGAUGAAAAACAAAAACCAAAGUCUCCCUACUCCUGGCCCAAAACUCUUGCUAGAGGGCUUUUAAAUGACAUGGCCCCAGGACUCCAAUAAAAGAUGAAAUCUUUUCUUCCUGGAAUAGCAAGACAUUUCUUAGAAGACGGUAGGCAUACAGAAAGAAUUAGACUCAAAGUAUCUAAGAUAGAGAGCAGGCAAGAGGUGAGCAGGAGGGGAAGGAACAGCUUACAGAGGUUCUGUCCUUCAGCCUUUGGACCCCUGCGGAGAUACAAAUGGACUUUGGGGUGUCUAUGAACCCUUAGAAACCACAUGUAGAUUGUGUAUGUGUUUGAACACAUUCAUUGUGAUGAGGGUGUCUCUACCUUACAUGAGAUUUUCCAACAGUCUCUUAACUAUGAGUUAUAAUCUCGUAUAACCUCUCUCUGCCAGCCUAGAGAGAUGCCCUGAAGACGUGGAUCUGACAUUGCUCUUAAAAGUAACCCCCAAAUUUCACUAGCUUAUGCACUGUUUGGACCUUGCCUACUUCUCCAGCCUCAGCUGAAAGGCAGCAGAAAGUAGUGAUAACAAGGCAGAUUCUAGAGAAAGAUUGCCUAGAUUCAGCUCUAUACUUACCAGCUGACAGUUAUAUGACCUGGAGCAAGUUACUUGGGACUUAUCCCAUCUGCAGCUCUGAUUCCUCAUGUUUAAAAUGGGGGUAAUAAUAAUAGCAUAUAACUUGGCUGGUUUGGGAGCACACUAACCUCCACCACAUUUAUCUUCUCCCAUUUCUUCAAACACCAUGUUCCUUCUCACCUCAGGGGCUUUGCACAAGCUUUUCCUUCUGCCUGGAAAGUUUUGCUUUUUGUGUGUGUGUGUGAGGAAGAUUGGCCCUGAGCUAACAUCUGUGCCUAUUUUCCUCUAUUUUAUAUGUGGGACGCCGCCACAGCAUGGCUUGAUGAGUGGUGCAUAGGUCCACAUCUGGGAUCCGAACCCGCGAACCCUGAGCCACCGAAGCAGAGUGCGUGAACUCUACCACUACACCACCAGGCCAGCCCCAACCUGGAAAGCAUUUUUGCCCCAUUUCUUUCCCUAGCUGAUCUCACAGGUCUCAGCUUAAACUUCACUUCAUAAGGCAAUUUCUGACCACCAUAACUUGGUUCAGCCCCUCUCUGUUAUGUUCUAUAUGACCCAGUGGAGUGCUGGAAUUGGCUCACACUGGCUGAUGGGAGCUGACUAUUAAAUUUUAUGGAAUUUUCUAAGCUGGCAACUGCUGCCAGCUUGAAGUCAACCAUGGUGGAAGUAUUUACUCCAUGGAAAUAGGCAAAUUUUACAUAUCAGGACUUUUUUUUUUCCUAAGCUGGUUUAACAAUAACUACUGUAUGUAAGAUCCUGUACAUUUUCUUUGUCACAAUUUUAAUUAUGCAAUGAUUUCUCUGAUUGUGUGUUUACAGUCAGCCUCCCUCACUCAGCUGUAGGCUCCAUGAGGCAGGAACUAUGUCUGUAUGUUCAAUGCUAUCCUUACACUACCUAAUAAAAAAUGUGACCCCAGCCCUUAACUCCUUUAAAGAAGCAGAUCAACAAAGGCAAUCUGGCAAAUGGUUCCCAUUCUGCUUCCUUAGGGAAGAAAAGAAUUAAGGAAGAAGAACCAAUGUUGACAUUCCUCUUCCAAUACUCCCCUCCAUGUGUCAUGGGAUAGCUGGAGUGUCAUACAUAAUGUAGUUCUUGGUACGGGGCCAUGAGAAGCUCCUGACAAUGGCAGGACUUUAGUGACCAUGUGGGGUGAAAAGUAGCACAUGUCCACCACUCAGGUUUGGAGAAAUGCAGCCUCUCAGUUAUUAUAACCAUCCUUCUUGGUAAUCUGGAUAGCCUUAGAACUCUCAGAGAUGCCUCUAUGUGUGUGCCUCUUUGCUGCCCACCCCAGUAGUUUCAGGUGGAGCUAAGGGGUUGCAAAUUGCCUGUGGAAUAGUGCUCCAGGAUGGUGCUGUGUCUGCUACCUCUUGGUGGUUUACAGCUAAAAGAGGGUGUCACAUGGGUGGUUUUGAUUGCCUGAAGACUAUGAAUUGGGAAACUCUAAAGAACUCAAAAAAGAUAGUGCAACUAGCUUAUCAGAGAUGGAGAAAUUGGGCCAGACUCACCAGAUGGGCUGCUGUAGCCUAAUCCUCUCCUAUUUGAGGCAGUUGACCUCUGCUGAGACCAGCUUCCACCAAAAAUUGACUCCUGUGGAUCUGCACAGGAUGGAGUGUUGCUCGCUACCAGGCAGAGGAUUCACAGGGCUUUGGCCAACUUGUCAGGAAGGAAAAUGGGUUCAGUGGAGACAAGGUAUACAGCUGGGGGAACACACCAAGCCAUUUCUCCAUCUUGAGGAUGUCAGUCACUGAGCUGUAGAUAAGUAGAGAAUGAGCCCCUAUAAUAUCUAGUAACCACCAACACAACUGAGCAUCCUGAAUCAGUUAGGAGAGUGGUGCUCCCAAUCUAGAAUCACUGAACCCUCAUGCCUUAUCAGGCUUGAUGGAUGGACAGGACUCAGCCCAGAACCUUAGGACCAUCAAAGGCAUGUGAUUCAAGGCAAUGCCCAGAGGUCAAGUUGUAGACAAUCAAGGGCUUCCAGACUGGAUGUCUCAUGAGCUGAGUUUACCCAGAUACCAUCCUGAGAAGGUGUAAAAUUUUCUGAUUGUCAGGUAUUAGGAGAUACAAACAAACAAACAAACACAUAGGCAUUGCAGCAGUCAAAUGACCUCAGAGCCUCCUCAACUCGUUGAGCUUAUCUGGAAAGCCCACUUGUAUCCUCUCCCCUCCCAGAUACAAGGCAGUAAGUCUCCUGGAGUUCAUUGCUCAAGCUUUAAUGUGCAUACCAGUGUUCUGGGUACCCUGUUAAAAAGCAGGAUCUGGUUCGCUAGAGGAGAGAUGAAGCCCAAGACUCUGCAUUUCCAUCACACUUUCAGAGGUUCCAAAGCUGCUGAUCCAAAGACCAUACUUUGAGGAGCAGGCCUCAGAGGACACCUUCCGCAAAGAGAUGUUGGCUUCCUUUGCUGCUUGGAUGGCUGGAUGAAUGAGUGAAAGAAGAAAGAAGGGGCUAGAGGAUGAGUGAAUAGCUGAAUAACCGUGUAGAUGGAGGACUUAUCAGUUACUCUCAACUCUUCCAUUCUCUCAGCUUAACAUCCUGAAUUCCAUCAGCUAUGAUUGGUAUUGAUCUCCUGAGGUUGUGAAUAGCCUCCCCAGCAAAGUGGGCCUUCUGUAACACUGGUGAUGUAAAUUCCAGUACUGCCUGAAUGUUGCCUUUCUCAAAACAUGACCCUCCUUGACCAGACCCAUCUGUGGCUUCCUGUGAUGCCUAAGAUUUUAUUGUCAGGACAUUUCAACAGGGACCUAUUAAAGUGCAAAUUCCCAUGGGAGGAGCUGUAUAUUUAUUCAUUUUUGGUCAUUGAUCUCCUCAGCAUUUCGCCUCCACAAAUACUGAAGGAGUGUAUUAGUGUCCUGUGGCUGCUGCAACAAUCUUGCUGGCUUAAAGCAACAGAAAUGUGUUCUCUCACAGUUCUGGAGGCUAGAAAUCCAAAGUCAAGGUCUCAAAGGGGCCUCACAACCUUGAAAGUCUCUUAGAGAAAAUCCAUCCUCUGCCUCUUCCAGGUUCCAGUGGCUGCCAGCAUUCCUCGGCUCUCUCACUCCUUGGUCUUCUCAUCACCUUCUCCUCUGUAUGUCCCUAAUCUCCCUCUACCUCUCUCUUAUAAAAACACUUGUGAUGGCAUUUAGACCCACCUGGACAAUCCAGAAUAAUCUCUUCAUCUCAAGAGCCUUAAUUUAAACGCAUCUGCAAACACUUUAGUAUUGGGAGAUUAGGGCCUAAGAUUUUUGAGUGGAGAGGGGCACCCUUCAACUCACUAUAAGGAGCAACCUCUGAGAAGAGACAACCACACAGUUUCCCUCCAGGAGUUUAGUCCCAGAAUUUCUGAAGAGAAUGAACAAUUCAGUGCUUUGGAAAUUACAUCCUAGGUUUACCAAAGCUCCAGAAAGAAUGUGGUAUGGGAAAUAAAGCCAGGAGUUAGACGGACUUGACAGGAUAGAAUUAGUGCUUCCAGGAUAUCUCAUUGGACUAUAGAUUGGAAGGUAUGCUGCAAAAAUCGUAAAUACUGAUGAAAGUUAAGGAAUCUUUGGGCAAAUUUCAGGCCCUAGGUAUCUCUGAGCUGUGGAUGGGAAGUAGCCCACCAGAGGCAACCUAAAGGCCCUGAGUAGAGGAUGACACUCCACAUGGUGACUGAAAGUCUGUGUGGGGCUGUAUGGGGCUGAUUAAGCAAAAGAAAAUUACCUGUGUUGAUUGAAUUACCUCAAAGUUUAAAUUGGUCUGUUUACCAAGGUGAUUAUGAGCUGUAAUAUCAGGUAAGAUAGACCAGAAUUCAAAUCCUAUCAGUUUGCAUGACUUAUGUCAAGUGACUUGGGUUUUCUGACUCCAUUACUACCAAGUUACUACUUUGGACUUACUACAGAGACUAAGGUGAUGUGUGUAACAUAGCUUGUAGAGUGCAAAAUAUUAUGUGAUAGAUAUACAACAGAUGUUGCUUUCCCCUGACUUUGAAUAUUGUGUCUCCAUAAAGACCCUUAUACAUGUGAGUCUAAAUUGUGGUAUUAGGAAAUUUGAUCUAGUCAUGCUGAGGUGUACCUUUCAAAAUUGCAUUUUAGGAGGUCUUAUGCUGACCAAUAAGAAAAAAAACUCACUUUAUCCAUAUGCCUCCUGAUAUGAUGUAUUGAGAAGGACACAACAUCUACUGUGUUUUACCUGCUAAAAAUGUAUAAUAUAUGAAAAUAUCAAACGAACCCAAAUUGCAGUAUGUUUUCCAAAAUAGUCAUCCUAUAUGUUUCAAAUAUAUUAAGUCAUAAAGACAAAGAAAAGCUGAGAAACUCUUUCUGAUUCAAGCCAACUAAAGAAAUAUGAUAACUAAAUGCACUGUGUAAUCCUGGAUUAGAUUCUUUACUUGGAAAAAAUAGCAAUAAGAGACAUUUUGGGGACAGUUGACAGAAUUUGAAUAUGGACUAUGUACAAGAUAACAGUUUUUUAGCAAUGUUAAUUUUAAAAAAUGUUGAUAAUUGCAUUGUGAUUAUGUGUGAAUGUUCUGAGGAAAUGCACAUGGACAUAUUUAGGGGUAAAGGGGCAUGAUAUAUGAAGUUGACUCUCAAAUGGUUCAUAAAAUAAUACAUGUGUAUAUAAUGUGUAUAACUAUAUAAUGUAUAUAUUAUUGCACAAGAUUAUGUUAGGAGUUGUGGAGGGUGGUGUCUUGUCCUGUGAUUCUCUUGGUCUUCAUCCCCUUGGCACACCCUAAUUGACAGUCUUCACCUGGACCUCCUCCUUUUGAGCUUAGGAAACAUGCUCCUUCUAGGCCUGUGGCUUCACUCUAAGCCUUAGCUGAGAGGUCUUAUACCUCCAUUCCACUCUCCUAAGAAGAGAAAGAGAAUACAUAGAGAAUAGUGUUAUCUCAUCACACUUGGGCUGUACUGAUUGCCUCUAAAAGGAAGAGUACUCCUGGGAAAGGCUUGGGGCCAUGCCUGCAACUUAGUUGGGUAUGCAGGUGCACGUACCAGACUCUAGGUCAGGAUUUGAUAAGUUUCCAAAAGGAUGAUCAUUGCCGGGGACCCUGAUACCAGUAUUCAUGGUCUGGUCCCUGAUUUUCCCUCCUUUCCUGAUUCAUCUCUUGUCCUCACCCCCUUGGGUCCUUUUCUGCUCCAUUCAUACUCAUCAGAGUCCACCUCUUACUGGCAUGGAGUUCUUUGGCUUUAUCCAAGCCUCUCCCUUCAGUUGGAACAUUCCUCUCUAGUCUCUCCUUGCCUUUCAGCUUUCAAUUUAGAUGUCUCUUUCUCCUGGAAGUCUUCUCUGAUAUUCCAAAAUCUGUAUUAUAUGUACCUCUAAUAGCUCCUCAUUGCAUUCUGUGCUUCUCCUGUCAUAGCCUUAUCACUCUGCUUUGUAAUCACCUCUUUGCUCGUCUAUAUCCCCAACCAACUACAAUAUCUGUGAGGCUUGUUUGUGGGUUAUCCUUCGUGCUAGGCACAUUUCCUUACAUGUAGUACAUUGUCCCUAAAUAUGUGUUGAAUAAAUUCAAUAAUUAGACUACACUACUGUAACCCUGAAGAUAAGGGUUUCUUUUUGUUGUUGUUUGUUUGUUUAUCCUCCUUAAAGUCGCCAGUCACUACUAACAGAGAUUUUAUCACUUAUUUUCAGGAGAUUUGGGGGUAAUUCAUCCAAAAAAGAUGCAUUAACAGGGUGCUAUAAAAUCAAGACCAAGAGGAGCCUGAUUCUAAGCCCACUUGUCUCCAAAUGCUGGUCCGUAAUUGGAGCCAGGAUCUUCUGGAUAGAUUUUUAAUUACAUAUAUCACAGAGUCCAUCUCUAGAAAUUCUGAUUGAGUUAAGUUGGAUGGGGCCCAGGACCCUGCAUUUAAAAGGUUCCACAGGUGAUCCUGCUGCACAGCUAGAGUUAAAAAAUCACUAGAGAAACCCUCCAUCUCACUCAUAAGACACCCCAGGUGAAAUGACACGCUCAAGGCCACACAGCUGGAAGUGCCAGUGAGAAGCAGUAUUCAGGAUUCUAAUCCUCAUCUAAUCCCCAGAAGGUCUUUCCAUUGCCUCAUUUCCUCUGCUUGAAAUUCCUCCCCCAAAUGGAGCGGGCUUGUUUUUCACGUCUCAUCUGACCACACAGGUGCGUGUUUGAAUAUAGGUGAUUUUAUUCCUUGCUGAAAUUGUUGCAUUUCAUUGCUGAGUAAUAGGAUAUCUCAGGGUCAUUUUUAUUAAAAAUGUAAAUACAUGUCCCCAUUCAUUCAUGGUAAUUCUCUCAAAUCAGCAGUUGACUUAUUUGGCACUUUUUCCACAGUACAAAAGUCAUGGGUUAUAGUAAUAUCAGAUUCCUUUUACAGAGUGCAUCUUAUUCUAAAAUGCAUUAAAAUUACCCUGAGCCUCUCAAAUGUUAAAUUACAGAUGAGGAAACUGAAGCCUAGAAAAGGAAAUGACUAGCUUAAGGUUAUGGAGCCAAGACUAAGUCUUUUCAUUACCAAGCCAAUAUUCUUGCAGAAAAAAAUGGUAAUUACUUGCUGCACCUAUUAUGGCCCUCAUCCAAGGAACUGAAGGUAUUUCAAACCCCUAAGUUACAAAUAUGACAAAUUCCUUACAAGGAAGCUCAGGAAAGAGCAGUGAGUUAUCAACUUUGUAUUCCAGAUCCCCAUGGAUUAUACAACCAAGGCUUCCUCCUUCCUUUGACUUCAGAUCUACAUUGAGAGUUGUAGCAAGUAAUCAACACUGUAGUCUCAGCAUGCUUAUUUCCCCCCAAUCGUGUAUUUAUUCAGCUUUUAUCGGGAUCUUACCAUGGGUUACAUACUAUUCUAGUCUUUGGG
Molecule: long non-coding RNA, 13280 nt
Organism: Equus caballus (horse)
Lineage: Eukaryota; Metazoa; Chordata; Mammalia; Perissodactyla; Equidae
Source: Ensembl